RNAcentral lists this ribosomal RNA (468 nucleotides) under uncultured bacterium. RNAcentral's name for it is "partial 16S ribosomal RNA". It matches the Rfam family "Bacterial small subunit ribosomal RNA", at positions 28 to 507 of the family's 1533-position model. The record is from RNAcentral.
GACGAACGCUGGCGGCGUGCUUAACACAUGCAAGUCGAACGGAAAGGCCCUGCUUUUGUGGGGUGCUCGAGUGGCGAACGGGUGAGUAACACGUGAGUAACCUGCCCUUGACUUUGGGAUAACGUCAGGAAACUGGGGCUAAUACCGGAUAGGAGCUCCUGCUGCAUGGUGGGGGUUGGAAAGUUUCGGCGGUUGGGGAUGGACUCGCGGCUUAUCAGCUUGUUGGUGGGGUAGUGGCUUACCAAGGCUUUGACGGGUAGCCGGCCUGAGAGGGUGACCGGCCACAUUGGGACUGAGAUACGGCCCAGACUCCUACGGGAGGCAGCAGUGGGGAAUAUUGCACAAUGGGCGGAAGCCUGAUGCAGCACCGCCGCGUGCGGGAUGACGGCCUUCGGGUUGUAAACCGCUUUCGCCUGUGACGAAGCGUGAGUGACGGUAAUGGGUAAAGAAGCACCGGCUAACUACGUG